Molecule: ribosomal RNA, 433 nt
Filed under: uncultured bacterium
Lineage: Bacteria
Description: partial 16S ribosomal RNA
Rfam family: Bacterial small subunit ribosomal RNA
Source: RNAcentral
AACGAACGCUGGCGGCAUGCUUAACACAUGCAAGUCGAACGAGACCUUCGGGUCUGGUGGCGCACGGGUGCGUAAAGCGUGGGAUACUGCCUUUAGGCUCGGCAUAACUUCCCGAAAGGGGUGCCAAAACCGGUUCUUGUCCCCGGACCAAAGUUUUAUCGCGUUUGGAUGGGCCCGCGAUGUCUUACCUAGUUAGUAGGGUAAAACCCUAUAACGGCGACGUGCCAUAGCUGGGCUGAGAGGAUGAGCAGCCACUCUGGGCCUGGGACACGGCCCAGACUCCUACGGGAGGCAGCAGUGGGGAAUACUCGACUAUGGGCGAAAGCCUGAUCCAGCAAUGCCUCGUGAGUUAUGAAGGCAUUAGGGUUGUAAAGCGCUUUUACCCGGGAUGAUAAUGACAGUACCGGAAGAAUAAGCUCCGGCUAACUCCGUG